RNAcentral lists this ribosomal RNA (254 nucleotides) under uncultured bacterium. RNAcentral describes it as "partial 16S ribosomal RNA". It matches the Rfam family "Bacterial small subunit ribosomal RNA", at positions 524 to 776 of the family's 1533-position model. The record is from RNAcentral.
UACGGAGGGGGCAAGCGUUGUUCGGAAUUACUGGGCGUAAAGGGCGCGCAGGCGGCUGCUCAAGUCAGGCGUGAAAGGCCUGGGCUCAACCCGGGAAUUGCGCUUGAGACUGGGCUGGCUUGAGUGCGGGAGAGGAUGGUGGAAUUCCCAGUGUAGAGGUGAAAUUCGUAGAUAUCGGGAGGAACACCGGUGGCGAAGGCGGCGACCUGGGUCGAGACUGACGCUGAGGCGCGAAAGCGUGGGGAGCAAACGGG